RNAcentral lists this ribosomal RNA (466 nucleotides) under Baryconus sp. M195. RNAcentral describes it as "eukaryotic LSU rRNA". The record is from RNAcentral. Lineage: Eukaryota; Metazoa; Arthropoda; Insecta; Hymenoptera; Scelionidae.
AAACCGUUUAGGGGUAAACCCUGAGAAACCCGAAAGAUCGAAUGAGGAGACUCAUCGUCAGGGGGGUCGGCUUCCAUGUGGUUCGCGAUGAUGAAGAAAUUUAUUUCAAAUUCACGCUUCCACUGUGGCAUGUCUGAUUUCUUCGGCGUGCACUUCUCCUCUAGUAGAACGUCGCGACCCGCUGGGUGUCGGUUUAAGGGCCGAGAUUGAAGACUGCUUCGUAGCUUCGGCGUGCGAUUGCAGGCACUUGGAUUCCCGACCGGCUGCUCGGCGGUAUACAAACAAGGUAUCGAGCCGCACUUGAAUGCGUUCAGACUCGUCGCAAGCCCGACCAUUGUUAAUCCUGGAGUUACGGACCUAGUGCCGUACCUGGGGGUGGUUAGCUGUUGGUUGACGAUGUUCUCGAACUGGCUUAACUUUAAUGCGAUACCGGUCAGCGACGCUAUUGCUUUGGGUACUUUCAGGA